RNAcentral lists this ribosomal RNA (630 nucleotides) under uncultured Pseudomonadota bacterium. RNAcentral describes it as "bacterial SSU rRNA". It matches the Rfam family "Bacterial small subunit ribosomal RNA", at positions 9 to 639 of the family's 1533-position model. The record is from RNAcentral. Lineage: Bacteria; Pseudomonadati; Pseudomonadota.
GAGUUUGAUCAUGGCUCAGAUUGAACGCUGGCGGCAGGCCUAACACAUGCAAGUCGAGCGUGAAAGCCUUCGGGUGAGUAAAGCGGCGGACGGGUGAGUAACGCGUGGGAAUCUGCCCGGUAGCGGGGGACAACAGUCGGAAACGACUGCUAAUACCGCAUACGCCCUGAGGGGGAAAGCAGGGGAUCUUCGGACCUUGCACUAUCGGAUGAGCCCGCGUCAGAUUAGCUGGUUGGUAGGGUAAUGGCCUACCAAGGCGACGAUCUGUAACUGGUCUGAGAGGAUGAUCAGUCACACUGGAACUGAGACACGGUCCAGUCUCCUACGGGAGGCAGCAGUGGGGAAUAUUGCACAAUGGGGGAAACCCUGAUGCAGCCAUGCCGCGUGUGUGAAGAAGGCCUUCGGGUUGUAAAGCACUUUAAGCAGUGAGGAAGGGUUGAACGCUAAUAUCGUUCAACAUUGACGUUAGCUGCAGAAUAAGCACCGGCUAACUCCGUGCCAGCAGCCGCGGUAAUACGGAGGGUGCGAGCGUUAAUCGGAAUUACUGGGCGUAAAGCGCGCGUAGGCGGUAAUCCAAGCUGGGUGUGAAAGCCCCGGGCUCAACCUGGGAAUUGCAUUCAGAACUGGGAU